CGAUAAUAUCGCCUAUCGUACGCGUUCAGACAUUCAUAACAAGAAUGAGUGUGUUGACAUUGAUAUGAUGAAGCCGGCUGAAAACAUUUCUGUUAAACCAAAAGCGUAAGACUUGCAGAUCCACCACUGCGUUGUUCGUCCUAAACAUAAAGUCAAAAGGUCGAAAACCAAUUCAUUUUUAGAGUUCACCAAAGUUGCUGAAAGCAAACUGCGUUUACCUGUUGAUGUUUCGUGUGAUCUCUGUCUUUCUGUUGACAACUUGCGUGACGUUAGUAUCAAGAACCUAAGGCGUGAGCUAAUUGAUAUGAAAACAAGAGCCGAGAAGUCUGGUGAUGGUUACAGGUAUGGUUUUACCAAGUGGUCAUCUUUCUUGAAAUCAAAUCACAUCUGGUUCGGCGCCACUCUUUUCUUUAAGUACGUCAAGUCUUCGCAGCUUUUGAUGUUGACCAAAGUUGUACACAAGACGACAAAGAAAAGAGGUCGUGCGUGACUGUUUGAAAUUGUGGUUUUUUUGCUUUGUUUGGGAUGAACAUUUAAUGUGGUGGUUUGUUUUUGUUUAUUGAUAUUUGAUGGGUAUUAGUCAAGUAUGGUUAGACGGUUAUGUUGGUAGUUUGUAGUUGUUGUUGACAUGGUUG
This is a long non-coding RNA of Helianthus annuus (common sunflower), 635 nucleotides long. RefSeq lists it as uncharacterized. The record is from RefSeq and is a predicted model, not a curated record. The transcript is spliced from 3 exons. Lineage: Eukaryota; Viridiplantae; Streptophyta; Magnoliopsida; Asterales; Asteraceae.